UGGGCGUAAAGCGCACGCAGGGCGGUCUGUUAAGUCAGAUGUGAAAUCCCCGGGCUUAACCUGGGAACUGCAUUUGAAACUGGCAGGCUUGAGUCUCGUAGAGGGGGGUAGAAUUCCAGGUGUAGCGGUGAAAUGCGUAGAGAUCUGGAGGAAUACCGGUGGCGAAGGCGGCCCCCUGGACGAAGACUGACGCUCAGGUGCGAAAGCGUGGGGAGCAAACAGGAUUAGAUACCCUGGUAGUCCACGCCGUAAACGAUGUCGACUUGGAGGUUGUGCCCUUGAGGCGUGGCUUCCGGAGCUAACGCGUUAAGUCGACCGCCUGGGGAGUACGGCCGCAAGGUUAAAACUCAAAUGAAUUGACGGGGGCCCGCACAAGCGGUGGAGCAUGUGGUUUAAUUCGAUGCAACGCGAAGAACCUUACCUGGCCUUGACAUCCAGAGAACUUAGCAGAGAUGCUUUGGUGCCUUCGGGAACUCUGAGACAGGUGCUGCAUGGCUGUCGUCAGCUCGUGUUGUGAAAUGUUGGGUUAAGUCCCGCAACGAGCGCAACCCUUAUCCUUUGUUGCCAGCGGCUCGGCCGGGAAC
This 584-nucleotide ribosomal RNA is filed under the name Marinomonas sp. p91_B12. Its description in RNAcentral is "bacterial SSU rRNA". It matches the Rfam family "Bacterial small subunit ribosomal RNA", at positions 555 to 1138 of the family's 1533-position model. Lineage: Bacteria; Pseudomonadati; Pseudomonadota; Gammaproteobacteria; Oceanospirillales; Oceanospirillaceae. The record is from RNAcentral.